Long non-coding RNA from Diospyros lotus (date-plum), 761 nucleotides. RefSeq lists it as uncharacterized. NCBI's taxonomy places the organism in Eukaryota, Viridiplantae, Streptophyta, Magnoliopsida, Ericales, Ebenaceae. The record is from RefSeq and is a predicted model, not a curated record. The transcript is spliced from 3 exons.
UCAAUGAGAGAGACGAAGAAGAAGAGAAGAAGGGGAAGAAGACGAAGAAGAAGAGGGAGUAGGGGGGGUGUUGUCGCGGGAAAGAUGGCACUUGCAGUUGCAGAAAAGCAAAGCAACCGCCAUCUUUACGCGGCAACACUCCCUGCCAUACUCCUCACUUUAAGCUUAAUACUUGCGGCAUUCACAAUCACAAGCUCCUUCAUGUUUCAUGCAGGUUGAUGCCGAUUAUACUCCUCUGUCAUCGCCUAUAAAUGAAACGUAAGAGUAAUUCACAAGCAGAGUUAGAAGGCGAAGACAGUAACUACGUACUCAAUAUUAUAAUUAUUAUUAUGUAUUGCAUUCCACUAUUGCUACCAUAGAAAAGACACAGUAAAGUUGCUAAAGGUGAAGAAGUUAAAUUGAUUGAUGUUGAGGAGAAAGAAGAUAAAAAAGGAGCAAGAAUAAGAACAAGAGGAUACACUCAUACUCAAUGAAAAUAGUGAGGGAGAAGAUGAUACCAAUGAUAACCUGAGGAUGAUUAGUUAGAACUUAGAAGAUCAUGAUGUUGAUAAUAGAUACGAUUUUAUAUAUUUAUUUAGUACUUUAAGAUGUACUUUUAACACAUUAGAUAUUUUAUACAAGUCUUGUGCUUAGAUUUUUUAUGUUGUAUGUUUUUUCUUAUGAUUUGAUUUGGUUCCCGAUUCUCAAUUAGCAAAAUGAAUACUGAUAUUCACAACUCUAAUCUCAACUGAACAACUAUAAUCGACACACAGCCAGGAGGG